Molecule: ribosomal RNA, 542 nt
Filed under: uncultured Glomeromycotina
Lineage: Eukaryota; Fungi; Glomeromycota
Description: LSU rRNA
Rfam family: Eukaryotic large subunit ribosomal RNA
Source: RNAcentral
UUCGAUUGAUCAGAUUCGCUUUACGAUACGUUAUCAAAGAGUCAAGUUGUUUGGGAUUGCAGCUUAAAAUGGGAGGUAAAUUUCUCCUAAGGCUAAAUAUUGGCGAGAGACCGAUAGCGAACAAGUACCGUGAGGGAAAGAUGAAAAGUACUUUGAAAAGAGAGUUAAACAGCACGUGAAAUUGUUGAAAGGGAAACGAUUGAAGCCAGUCGUACCGGCGGAUAAUCAGCCUUUCGGGUGCGAUUCUGUGGGGCGUGAGGAGCUUAACCGCCUUCAUGUUUUGCAUAUUCGUGCACAUUUGGUGUACUUGUCCGUGUGGUGGGUUAACAUCAAUUUCGGUCGUCAUAAAAUGAUUGGAGGAAUGUAGCUUUGGUCUCGUAUCGAAGUGUUAUAGACUCUGGUAGAUGUGACGAUUGGGAUUGAGGAUUGCAACGGAUACCCCUUCGGGGGCUGCCCGUCUGAUCUCUGAAGGUUGCUCCGGUGCCGAAAGCGUGCUUACGGUCAUCGAAAGUGAUUUUCAAAAGGUUAGAACGGGUUAAAUU